AGUGAACGCUGGCGGUAGGCCUAACACAUGCAAGUCGAACGGCAGCACAGUAAGAGCUUGCUCUUACGGGUGGCGAGUGGCGGACGGGUGAGGAAUACAUCGGAAUCUACUUUUUCGUGGGGGAUAACGUAGGGAAACUUACGCUAAUACCGCAUACGACCUACGGGUGAAAGCAGGGGAUCUUCGGACCUUGCGCGAUUGAAUGAGCCGAUGUCGGAUUAGCUAGUUGGCGGGGUAAAGGCCCACCAAGGCGACGAUCCGUAGCUGGUCUGAGAGGAUGAUCAGCCACACUGGAACUGAGACACGGUCCAGACUACUAAGGGAGGCAGCAGUGGGGAAUAGUGGACAAUGGGCGCAAGCAUGAUACAGCCAUACCGCGUGGGUGAAGAAGGCCUUCGGGUUGUAAAGACCUUUUGUUGGGAAAGAAAAGCAGCAGGUUAAUACCCCGCUGUUCUGACGGUAACCAAAGAAUAAGCACCGGCUAACUUCGUG
This 492-nucleotide ribosomal RNA is filed under the name uncultured bacterium. RNAcentral describes it as "partial 16S ribosomal RNA". It matches the Rfam family "Bacterial small subunit ribosomal RNA", at positions 29 to 507 of the family's 1533-position model. The record is from RNAcentral.